UACGUAGGGUGCGAGCGUUGUCCGGAAUUAUUGGGCGUAAAGAGCUCGUAGGCGGUGUGUCGCGUCGGCCGUGAAAACCUGCAGCUUAACUGUGGGCGUGCGGUCGAUACGGGCAUCACUGGAGUUCGGCAGGGGAGACUGGAAUUCCUGGUGUAGCGGUGAAAUGCGUAGAUAUUGUGAGGAACACUAGUGGCGAAGGCGAAUCUCUGGACAGUUCCUGACGCUGAGGCACGAAGGCCAGGGGAGCAAACGGG
RNAcentral lists this ribosomal RNA (254 nucleotides) under uncultured bacterium. Its description in RNAcentral is "partial 16S ribosomal RNA". It matches the Rfam family "Bacterial small subunit ribosomal RNA", at positions 524 to 776 of the family's 1533-position model. The record is from RNAcentral.